This is a long non-coding RNA of Onychostoma macrolepis, 428 nucleotides long. RefSeq lists it as uncharacterized. The transcript has 3 exons. The record is from RefSeq and is a predicted model, not a curated record. Lineage: Eukaryota; Metazoa; Chordata; Actinopteri; Cypriniformes; Cyprinidae.
UUGAAUCCAGUAUUUGGUAAUAAGUGUACAAGUGUAACAAGGUGGGGAAAAAAUACUCCAAAAAUUAUCAAAACAUUUUUGUUAAGUUGUUAUACCCUGUGUGAGCAAAGUCAUUAACUAGCAUGUUCGGAAAAGAACAAAUCCUCUCCAGGUCAAAAUGGCUGGAACACAACAUGAGGGUUAACACCUAUUCACCUCUUGAAUGUGUAUCGACCAUCUCUAAGGGUCGCCAAAGUUCAUACAUCUGCUGUUCCAAGGGCACGCUCUUUCCAGCUGGAGGUUAACGGCAUUUACUGAAGGAAUUGCUGUGUUGUGCUUCAGUUGAAGUGAAGUGUGUACUUGACUCUUUGAUGGCUCUCACAAGCUGUUUGGACUCUCUUUGACGGCACCUAUUCACUGUAGAGGAUCCACUGGUGAGCAAGUGAUGG